Molecule: transfer RNA, 115 nt
Filed under: Tribolium castaneum (red flour beetle)
Lineage: Eukaryota; Metazoa; Arthropoda; Insecta; Coleoptera; Tenebrionidae
Rfam family: tRNA
About the family: Transfer RNA (tRNA) molecules are approximately 80 nucleotides in length. Their secondary structure includes four short double-helical elements and three loops (D, anti-codon, and T loops).
Source: Rfam by way of RNAcentral
GUCAGGAUGGCCGAGCGGUCUAAGGCGCCAGACUCAAGGUUUCCCUUGCCUGUAUAGCAGGUCGUGAGCGUUCUGGUCCUCUCUGAGGGCGUGGGUUCGAAUCCCACUUCUGACA